CCUACGGGAGGCAGCAGUGAGGAAUAUUGGUCAAUGGGCGUAAGCCUGAACCAGCCAAGUCGCGUGCGGGACGACGGCUCUAUGGGUCGUAAACCUCUUUUGUAAGGGAGUAAAGUGCGUUACGUGUAGCGUUUUGUAAGUACCUUAUGAAUAAGGAUCGGCUAACUCCGUGCCAGCAGCCGCGGUAAUACGGAGGAUCCGAGCGUUAUCCGGAUUCAUUGGGUUUAAAGGGUGCGUAGGUUGGUUUAUAAGUUAGCGGUGAAAUUCCGUUGCUCAACAUUAGAGUUGCCGUUGAAACUGGAGGGCUAGAGUAUGUAUGCAGCAGGCGGAAUGCGUGGUGUAGCGGUGAAAUGCAUAGAUAUCACGCAGAACACCGAUUGCGAAGGCAGCUUGCUAGGCC
This 400-nucleotide ribosomal RNA is filed under the name uncultured bacterium. RNAcentral's name for it is "partial 16S ribosomal RNA". It matches the Rfam family "Bacterial small subunit ribosomal RNA", at positions 338 to 735 of the family's 1533-position model. The record is from RNAcentral.